Long non-coding RNA from Gasterosteus aculeatus aculeatus (three-spined stickleback), 1091 nucleotides. The record is from Ensembl. Lineage: Eukaryota; Metazoa; Chordata; Actinopteri; Perciformes; Gasterosteidae.
AUGACCUGCGAGGUGAUUCAUGGAGGAGCAGCGCGACAUGAUCACCCUGUCGUCUCCUCAGAUUCCCUGCUACUCGUGCUUCCAAGAGAUCGAAUUUAUGCGACUGCACUCACUUCAUUUAUUGGCCCGCCCUGGCGUUGCCCCCGGGGGGGGGGGCUCACUUCCUGUCAGUCUACGUGGGCCAAAGAUUGUAGCUCUGACGAGCCGAACAUAAACAAAAUGAGCAGCGAUGGAAUCAGAGGCCUACGGGAAGCAUCUGGGCCUCGUAAUUGGAAGCAGACGUCGGUCCCUUUUCCUCCCGUGUGACGGCGCACUGAGUCACGAAGGUUCUUAGCUGGUGUUCAUCACGCUGACAUCAGACACCUUCGCUUCACACGCCGAGUCCGGAUCAGAGCAGCAGAACUCGGCCGCAAAAACACCGCGAACAAACACAAAUGCAAACGUGGUUGUUUCAAUUGGACAUAAAAAAAAAAAAGAUAAACGGACCCAAGAAAUCAUAUUUUGACUCAACAGUUAAAUAAAUGAAUUAAAUAUUGUGUUUACUUUGUGAACGGAGGCUCGGGGGAGGAGAAUGUCCCAGAGGUCAACAGGUCAAGCUGUCUUAAUGUCCAUGUGAUCACCAUCAAUCAAUGAAUGUUAUCUGCGUGCGCACGGCCAAUAAAGCCGAUGAAACAAGCGUGGCAUCACCUCACAGCCGUGUGAAGCAAAGUGAAUCCACCUGGACUCCGGAGCACGUCGAUCCUGGAGGCUCCUCAAAGCGAGUGUGUGAUGCGUAACGCCGCCUGCAGUGUGUGUUUUCGCUGAUUAACACACCGAACGCACAACAGCUGCAGCACCACCCGACCCGAGGGACGACGACAACAACAACAACAGCUGAGCGUUUAAUGUGCGAUACGCACGGCGGAUUCACGGCGGUGCGGCGAGAUAAAACACAAGCGUGCGGCCUGUGACCUUUCCCAUGGUGCUCGGCGGUAAACGGGGGAAAGCGAGCGCACUGGGAUGAGUAAUGGGACGCUCGUAGUUUGCCAGCCGGUGAGGCCGGAGAUCACGGAGCGAGGCACAUCCGUCUCCACGGAGACACUCCCCCCCCC